AGCUGAUGCAUAUGGCGGUCUCCUCCCAGUUCCGCCGCCGCAGCUGUUCCCCUCUGGAGGUCAAAGAUCUCCACACUUUAUGGGCCGCGGGUUACUCCGUCGGCCCUUUUU
This 111-nucleotide small RNA is filed under the name Rhizobium sp. LC145. Its description in RNAcentral is "Alphaproteobacterial ar15". It matches the Rfam family "Alphaproteobacterial ar15". The record is from Rfam by way of RNAcentral. Lineage: Bacteria; Pseudomonadati; Pseudomonadota; Alphaproteobacteria; Hyphomicrobiales; Rhizobiaceae.